This 468-nucleotide ribosomal RNA is filed under the name uncultured bacterium. Its description in RNAcentral is "partial 16S ribosomal RNA". It matches the Rfam family "Bacterial small subunit ribosomal RNA", at positions 28 to 507 of the family's 1533-position model. The record is from RNAcentral.
GACGAACGCUGGCGGCGUGCUUAACACAUGCAAGUCGAACGGAAAGGCCCUGCUUUUGUGGGGUGCUCGAGUGGCGAACGGGUGAGUAACACGUGAGUAACCUGCCCUUGACUUUGGGAUAACUUCAGGAAACCGGGGCUAAUACCGGAUAGGAGCUCCUGCUGCAUGGUGGGGGUUGGAAAGUUUCGGCGGUUGGGGAUGGACUCGCGGCUUAUCAGCUUGUUGGUGGGGUAGUGGCUUACCAAGGCUUUGACGGGUAGCCGGCCUGAGAGGGUGACCGGCCACAUUGGGACUGAGAUACGGCCCAGACUCCUACGGGAGGCAGCAGUGGGGAAUAUUGCACAAUGGGCGGAAGCCUGAUGCAGCAACGCCGCGUGCGGGAUGACGGCCUUCGGGUUGUAAACCGCUUACGCCUGUGACGAAGCGUGAGUGACGGUAAUGGGUAAAGAAGCACCGGCUAACUACGUG